GACGAACGCUGGCGGCGUGCCUAAUACAUGCAAGUAGAACGCACAGUUUAUACCGUAGCUUGCUACACCAUAGACUGUGAGUUGCGAACGGGUGAGUAACGCGUAGGUAACCUGCCUGGUAGCGGGGGAUAACUAUUGGAAACGAUAGCUAAUACCGCAUAAUAUUAAUUAUUGCAUGAUAAUUAAUUGAAAGGUGCAAUUGCACCACUACCAGAUGGCCCUGCGUUGUAUUAGCUAGUAGGUGAGGUAACGGCGCACCUAGGCGACGAUACAUAGCCGACCUGAGAGGGUGGUCGGCCAGACUGGGACUGAGACACGGCCCAGACGCCUACGGGAGGCAGCAGUAGGGAAUCUUCGGCAAGGGACGAAAGUCUGACCGAGCAACGCCGCGUGAGUGAAGAAGGUUGUCGGAUCGUAAAGCUCUGUUGUAAGAGAAGAACGGGUGUGAGAGUGGAAAGUUCACACUGUGACGGUAACUUACCAGAAAGGGACGGCUAACUACGUG
RNAcentral lists this ribosomal RNA (505 nucleotides) under uncultured bacterium. RNAcentral describes it as "partial 16S ribosomal RNA". It matches the Rfam family "Bacterial small subunit ribosomal RNA", at positions 28 to 507 of the family's 1533-position model. The record is from RNAcentral.